RNAcentral lists this unclassified non-coding RNA (1662 nucleotides) under Acer tataricum subsp. ginnala. RNAcentral describes it as "external transcribed spacer". Lineage: Eukaryota; Viridiplantae; Streptophyta; Magnoliopsida; Sapindales; Sapindaceae. The record is from RNAcentral.
UGGUGUCUGCUGCGAAAUGGGAUGCCCAGUGCCUAUGCCAUGCCCCCCUCGCCCAUCCCACGAUGGGUGCCAAUGGCAUAGGCACUACCCCCCGACCCGGGGUCGGAUGUUGGCUCGGCGGUCUUCGAUCGUCMAUCCAUCCGGCAGCCGAUCCCGGCGGGGGCGGYCAGGUGGGCUAGUAGGGCUGUGUUGCUAUUUUUCGAGAGGAGAGGGACGGUUCACCUCGGAUUGCGAUUUUUCCACGGUAUUCAAGGGUCAAGCGGGUCCAUUGGCUACGGCUGUGCGUUAGCGUGCGAUCGGAGAGUACCKCGGUGGGUCAAGAUUUGAGUUUUAACCUCUCGGGUGGGCGCAACACUGUCUCUACUUGCUUGUCUGGCUGCCCMUCGGAAAAAYUGUUUUAAAAAUUGAUGGAGAUUUUUCAUUGUUCUCCAUCCUGACCCGUCGGAAAAUUGUUUUAAAAAUUGAUGGAGAUUUUUCAUUGUUCUCCAUCCUGACCCGUCGGAAAUUUUUUUWAAAAACUCGGUCUGGUGGGCUAGUAGUUCCGUGUUGCAAUUUCUCGAGGGGAGAGGGACGGUUCAUCUCGGAUUUCGAUUCUUCCAAGGUAUUCAAAGGUCAAUCGGGCCCUUUGCCGAAAGCCAUUGGGUUGACGUGCGAUCCUAGAGUACCGCGGUGGGUCAAGAUUUGGGUUUUAACCUCUCGGGGGAGCGCAACGCUGUCUCUACUUUCUCGUUUGGCCAUUGAUGGAGAUUUUUCAUUGUUCUCCAUCCUGACCCGUCGGAAAAUUGUUUUAAAAAUUGAUGGAGAUUUUUCAUUGUUCUCCAUCCUGACCCGUCGGAAAAUUGUUUUAAAAAUUGAUGGAGAUUUUUCAUUGUUCUCCAUCCUGACCCGUCGGAAAUUUUUUUAAAGAGAGAUUCUUCGUUAUGCUCCAAAUCAAAACAUCCCAAAAAAAAUGCGGAAGAACUAGCAUGCUUCGGCUUGUGCUAACUUGAUGCAUCCUAAGGUUUGUUGCGGUGGGUCGGGCGUAAUGGAGAAUCGUUGGUUUUUUAAAACUUUUUACUUGUCCCUUAAAGGUUUUUGUCCCUCGGAUUGUGUGUUUCCUCGCGUGAAGCGGUGCUGGUGUGGUCUUGCUUGACGUUUCCGCAUGCUCAGCGGUUCUAGUAAUCGUUGGGUUGUGGUUCGUUUGGUUGGGUCAUCAUCAGUUGUACGCAACUCAUGUGUGAGUGGUGAUCGGAUGGAAUGGGUUUGCAAGCUCCUUGCUCAGCGCAACGAAUUGUAAUCUCUCCAUCCUUUUCAUAGUCUUCCCCAAGCAUGGUCAUUUGCCUUGUGGGUAAGAUCGGUAUCCUGUGUUUUUUACCAAUUGAAUGGAAUUCGAAUGUUUUCAUUUCUGUAUUCGCCCGGUUCCCUCAGGGGUGUUGGGUGGACGAUAGGCUGACCUCGUGUUCCAGGUACAUCUCGCAUUAUUGUGUGGUUACCACGGCCCAUGGGGUUAUGCUUGUUCUCUUGGGUACAGAUCGUUAGUUGUGGGCGAGGGGUUACGACCUCCAUUCGUCCAAGCUAUUACGCAUUUGUCAAUCGACACGAACGACUGCUGCACUCGUCUUGGCUUUUACAGUUGAAUGGCUGUACAAUGUCCAUGCGAGUGUCGGUGUCGUGAAGGAAUGC